Molecule: ribosomal RNA, 468 nt
Filed under: uncultured bacterium
Lineage: Bacteria
Description: partial 16S ribosomal RNA
Rfam family: Bacterial small subunit ribosomal RNA
Source: RNAcentral
GACGAACGCUGGCGGCGUGCUUAACACAUGCAAGUCGAACGGAAAGGCCCUGCUUUUGUGGGGUGCUCGAGUGGCGAACGGGUGAGUAACACGUGAGUAACCUGCCCUUGACUUUGGGAUAACUUCAGGAAACUGGGGCUAAUACCGGAUAGGAGCUCCUGCUGCAUGGUGGGGGUUGGAAAGUUUCGGCGGUUGGGGAUGGACUCGCGGCUUAUCAGCUUGUUGGUGGGGUAGUGGCUUACCAAGGCUUUGACGGGUAGCCGGCCCGAGAGGGUGACCGGCCACAUUGGGACUGAGAUACGGCCCAGACUCCUACGGGACGCAGCAGUGGGGAAUAUUGCACAAUGGGCGGAAGCCUGAUGCAGCAACGCCGCGUGCGGGAUGACGGCCUUCGGGUUGUAAACCGCUUUCGCCUGUGACGAAGCGUGAGUGACGGUAAUGGGUAAAGAAGCACCGGCUAACUACGUG